AGUUAUGAGCUCUCGGGGCUCCAGCAGGGAGGUGCUGGCAGAGAGAAGAGGAGAUAGAUACAACUUUCCAGCAUUUACCUCGAGAGUCUCCUGAAAGACUUCAAGGGAGAAAAGGGGAGAAAAAGAUGUCUCCGUAUCUUUAAAUGGAAAUCCAGCCCUGUGAAAACUUGGGGCGAAUUUCUCCAGGUAAUCAGUCUCAUGGAGCGAUGCCAGAGGAAGAGCUGAAAUAUGGGCAGCGCCCUGUGUCAAGAUCGAGGCCCACCUUCUCCAGAGUCUUCCGCUCCGCUCCUCAGGGAAGGGACCACUCCGUCAGCCAGGCCCUAGCCCUGCACCUCUCGCUUCUCUGUCCUCAGACUCUUUCUUCCAACCUACACAGACACUGACACUCCUCCUACCCUGAAACUGGGUUCUCCCCUUCAACACUGAGCUAAGUGCUUCCCGUACCGGACUGUUUUCACACCUCAGCCCAACUCUAGAAGGGAGGUGCGAUACUUACUUUACAGAAAAGGAAACGGAUGUGCAGGGAUGUUAAAUAGUUGUCCUAAGGUCGCUAUUGAGCAUUGAGGGUCGUGUCUUCCUCUGCUCCAGACUCUUCUAUUCUUCUCAUACUGACAUCAUAAAAAUAAGAUAUAAUUCAUGGCUCUUGGCCAUCGCCUGCUCUUCACUCCUGAAUCCGCUGCGGCAGUCCUGAAUUCUGUCCUCAGCUGCCCCCAGCCCAGUGCUCACUGAUGGCCUUGAAUAGUCACACGCCCCGAGUCCCUGUAUUCCUGGAGCUUGUCCUGCUCAUAGCACUGCUUGAAAGUACUUUUUGGCUCUGAGUACACUAGUCUCUUCCCUCUCCUCACAUAUGCAACUGUUUCCUUUUUGUCACCAAUAUACCUGAGUGUGUCACCAGUCACCCCCAUUUAUUACAAUUGGCCUUUUCACUCUACACCCCUUUACCUGGCACUGACCUCCAGGUGCUAGACAAGGGAAAGUUUGGAGCCUCCAGCCACCUGAAGACAAAGACUUUGCAAUCUGGCUGAGACAGAAAUUAUGGCCCUAGUCCAUAUCAGGUUCAGCUCUGGCUCUACCUGCUAAGAUUACCAGGGGCGGGGAGGUCCCUAAAGACUGGAGCAGUUUGGGAAGGCUUCCUGGAAGAGGUGCUAAGGGCUCUGAUGCUUACAUGAACACACAAGAAAUGAAACACCCAAGAGAGGACCUCCCUGGUGGCACAGGUCUUAAAGUCUCAGAACUAUGGUGCUAUCACCAACCACUGCAGCACAAGUUCAGUCCCUGGCCUGGGAGCUGACCCACAUGGCGCAGCAGACCUCUCCUGUCUUGCCCGCUGCUCCCCUCAGCAGUGCAUUUCAGUAGAUCCGCCUGUUCUGUUCCCCACUCUGUCUCUGGUGAAUCCUCUCACCCCAGCCUCUGGCCUGCACCCCAGUUCUU
This is a long non-coding RNA of Talpa occidentalis (Iberian mole), 1431 nucleotides long. RefSeq lists it as uncharacterized. Lineage: Eukaryota; Metazoa; Chordata; Mammalia; Eulipotyphla; Talpidae. The transcript has 3 exons. The record is from RefSeq and is a predicted model, not a curated record.